AGAUUGAACGCUGGCGGCAGGCCUAACACAUGCAAGUCGAGCGGUAGAGAGGUGCUUGCACCUCUUGAGAGCGGCGGACGGGUGAGUAAUGCCUAGGAAUCUGCCUAGUGGUGGGGGAUAACGUUCGGAAACGGACGCUAAUACCGCAUACGUCCUACUGGGGAAAGCGGGGGACCUUCGGGCCUCGCGCGGAACGAUGGGCCUGCGUCCUAUCAGGUAGUUGGUGAGGUAAUGGCUCACCAAGCCGACGACGGGUAGCUGGUCUGAGAGGACGACCAGCCACACGUGGGACUGAGACACGGCCCAGACUCCGUACGGGAGGCAGCAGGUGGGGAAUAGUUGGACAAGUCGGGGGAAACCCUGACUCCAAGCAAGUACCGCGUGUGUAGAAGAAGGCCGUUACGGGUUAGUAAAGUACUACUUUAG
Molecule: ribosomal RNA, 426 nt
Filed under: uncultured soil bacterium
Lineage: Bacteria
Description: bacterial SSU rRNA
Rfam family: Bacterial small subunit ribosomal RNA
Source: RNAcentral